Capsicum annuum is the source of this 790-nucleotide long non-coding RNA. RefSeq lists it as uncharacterized. NCBI's taxonomy places the organism in Eukaryota, Viridiplantae, Streptophyta, Magnoliopsida, Solanales, Solanaceae. The record is from RefSeq and is a predicted model, not a curated record. The transcript has 3 exons.
AAAAGUGAAGCAAGGGACGACCAGGGUAUUUUAAUCAUUUCAUAAUUAAGGGUAAUAUGGGUAUUGCACAACUAUUUCUGCAACAUUCCAGAAUAUAGUGAUAUUUCCACAUUACUCUUCCACAACAUCCACCCAUUUGUCUUUCAUUUCAACCAUAGAUAAAAAAAAAAAAAAUCAACAAAAAAAGGGACAUUUCUAGAAGACAUUUUUACUUGAAUAUAAAUAGGACUAUCUUCUCAAUUGUGUUCAGAGCUUGGUUUAAUCCUCAUCAGUAAGCUCACAGUCAAAGUUGAUAAAGUAGAUGAAUAAAUCAGAGACAUACCUUGUGAGGGCUUCAUGGAUUGGUCCGUUAUACUUCAGUCAGUAUAUAUAUGAAGAUAAGUGAAGUUGCAAUUGCACCAGGAUAUGAGAGGUAUAUUGAAAAGAUUUGAGAAACUCAAAAGGCGAUUGAUUUUUCAAAUAUUGUAUGUGUUGAUGCCAGGGGAUUGAAGCUGAAGGAAGAUAAUCUUUAUUUAACCACAGAGGCUCAAGUUAAGUUAGGUCAAAUGUUGGCUGAUGCGUACCUUACCCAUUUUGCAUCACAAGAACCUUGUGUUGCUUCAUCUUGAGAAAUUUGUUGUACUAUGUGUGUAUAACCUAAAAAUUAUUUAAUCUCGGUUUAUGAACAUAACGACAUUGCUCAUAAGGUAAUAAUGUAACAGUGUAUGUAAUCUUUAUUCCACAUAAGGUAGUCUCGGUAUGAAGAAGCAGCUUAUUUAAUGCUAGAAUUGUAACUUAAUUUUUUUAUAUC